Molecule: ribosomal RNA, 274 nt
Filed under: uncultured bacterium
Lineage: Bacteria
Description: partial 16S ribosomal RNA
Rfam family: Bacterial small subunit ribosomal RNA
Source: RNAcentral
AUACGAAGGUCCCAAGCGUUAUUCGGAAUCACUGGGCGUAAAGAGUACGUAGGCGGUUUGGUAAGUCAGGUGUGAAAUCCCGGAGCUCAACUCCGGAACUGCAUCCGAUACUGCCAGACCUGAGUAAUGGAGAGGCAGGUGGAAUUCUCGGUGUAGCAGUGAAAUGCGUGGAUAUCGAGAGGAAGACCAAUGGCGAAGGCAGCCUGCUGGACAUUUACUGACGCUGAGGUACGAAGGCUAGGGGAGCGAAAGGGAUUAGAAACCCCAGUAGUCC